RNAcentral lists this ribosomal RNA (460 nucleotides) under uncultured bacterium. RNAcentral describes it as "bacterial SSU rRNA". It matches the Rfam family "Bacterial small subunit ribosomal RNA", at positions 29 to 525 of the family's 1533-position model. The record is from RNAcentral.
AUUGAACGCUGGCGGCAUGGUUAAAGCAUGCAAGUCGAACGCGAACCACCUUCGGGUGGGGAAAGUGGCGAAAGGGCGAGGAAUACGAUCGAAUGUGCCCCGAGGUGGGGGAUAGCGUCGAGAAAUCGGCGGUAAUACCCCAUGUGCUCUACGGAGGAAAGGUUUACCGCCUUGGGAGCAGCGAUCGUCCUAUCAGGUAGUUGGUGGGGUAAUGGCCUACCAAGCCGAAGACGGGUAGCGGGUGUGAGAGCAUGACCCGCCGCAUCGGAACUGAGACACUAUCCGGACUCCUACGGGAGGCUGCAGCGACGAAUAUUCCGCAAUGGGCGAAAGCCUGACGGAGCAAUGCCGCGUGUGGGAUGAAGCGCCUUCGGCGUGUAAACCACUGUCAGGUCCUAGGAACACUGACCAGGACCAGAGGAAGGGCCGGGCUAACCUCGUGCCAGCAGCCGCGGUAAAG